Molecule: non-coding RNA, 1143 nt
Organism: Misgurnus anguillicaudatus (oriental weatherfish)
Lineage: Eukaryota; Metazoa; Chordata; Actinopteri; Cypriniformes; Cobitidae
Source: RefSeq, a predicted model, not a curated record
UGCUGAACUGCCUGCAGAUUAACAUCACAAGCAGGUAAGAGAGUAAAAUAAUCAUCAUUUACUGUUAAAAACAUUUUGAAAAUUGAAGUUUUGUGUGUUCUUAUUGUAAUUUAUUUAUUUUAUAACAGGUAAACUUUAUACUGUAAGCUUCAUUCCCUUUAAAGCAGGUAAGCUUCAUACUGUUUUAAAUGAUAGGAGACUCUGCUGUAACAAUGACUUAAUGAUUUGUUAAAGUGUUAUAAAGCAUAUACAUGUAUAUUUUACAUUAAGUUUAUUAAACUAAUUAUGAAAAGAAUGUGGUACAUCAUGUGUUUAGUUUUUUUAUUGAUAUUUCAGAGUUUUUGUAUGUGAGGUAAUCUUACUGGGAGUGAAGGCAGUGUGUAUGACAGCUUAAUAUGAGACACAUCCUGUAUUUAAAGGUGAUGUAUGCAUGUUACUUUCAAUGCUGACAUUAAAAUAAGAGUUAUUUACUGUUAAAAACAUUUUGAAAAUUGAAGUUUUGUGUGUUCUUAUUGUACUUUAUAUCGUUUAUAACAGGUCAACUUUAUACUGUAAGCUUCAUUCACUUUAAAGCAGGUAAGCUUCAUACUGUUUUAAAUGAUAGGAGACUCUACUUUAACAAUGACUUAGGAUAAUGAUUUGUUAAAGUGUUAUAAAGCAUAUACUGUACAUGUAUAUUGUACAUUAAGUUUAUUAAACUAAUUAUCAGAAGUAUGUGGUACAUCAUGUGUUUCGUUUUUUUAUUGAUAUUUCAGAGUUUUUGUAUGUGAGGUAAUCUUACUGGGAAUGAAGGCAGUGCGUAUGACCACUUGAUAUAGACACAUUCUAUUUUUAAAGGUGAUGUAUGCAUGUUACUUUCAAUCCUGGCAUUAAAAUAAUAAUAUUUACUGUUUAAACAUUUUGCAAAAUUGAGGUUUUGCGUGUUUUUGAUGUACUUUAUUUAUUUUAUAACAGGUCAACAUACUGUAAGCUUCAUUCCCUUUAAAGCAGAGUUUUCAUAUGUGAGGUAAUCUUGCUUAUGCUGGGAGUGAAGGCAGUGCGUAUGACCGCUUGAUAUGAAAGACACAUCCUGUUUUUAAAGGUGGAUCAUGAGUGAAGCUCUGCAGGUCUGCCAUUGGCUUGAUAACAGUGUUAUAAAUAAAU